GACGAACGCUGGCGGCGUGCCUAAUACAUGCAAGAAGAACGCUGAAGAGAGGAGCUUGCUCUUCUUGGAUGAGUUGCGAACGGGUGGGUAACGCGUAGGUAACCUGCCUUGUAGCGGGGGAUAACUAUUGGAAACGAUAGCUAAUACCGCAUAACAAUGGAUGACACAUGUCAUUUAUUUGAAAGGGGCAAUUGCUCCACUACAAGAUGGACCUGCGUUGUAUUAGCUAGUAGGUGAGGUAAUGGCUCACCUAGGCGACGAUACAUAGCCGACCUGAGAGGGUGAUCGGCCACACUGGGACUGAGACACGGCCCAGACUCCUACGGGAGGCAGCAGUAGGGAAUCUUCGGCAAUGGGGGCAACCCUGACCGAGCAACGCCGCGUGAGUGAAGAAGGUUUUCGGAUCGUAAAGCUCUGUUGUAAGUCAAGAACGGGUGUGAGAGUGGAAAGUUCACACUGUGACGGUAGCUUACCAGAAAGGGACGGCUAACUACGUG
RNAcentral lists this ribosomal RNA (497 nucleotides) under uncultured bacterium. RNAcentral's name for it is "partial 16S ribosomal RNA". It matches the Rfam family "Bacterial small subunit ribosomal RNA", at positions 28 to 507 of the family's 1533-position model. The record is from RNAcentral.